GAGCACGUAGGUGGGUUUGUAAGUCAGAUGUGAAAUCCCUCGGCUUAACCGGGGAACUGCGUUUGAUACUGCGGUCCUUGAGUACAGGAGGGGAGAGUGGAAUUCCUGGUGGAGCGGUGAAAUGCGUAGAUAUCAGGAAGAACGCCGGAGGCGAAAGCGACUCUCUGGCCUGUUACUGACGCUGAGGUGCGAAAGCCAAGGGAGCGAACAGGAUUAGAUACCCUGGUAGUCUUGGCUGUAAACGAUGGGCACUAAGUAGAGGGGUUUU
Molecule: ribosomal RNA, 268 nt
Filed under: uncultured bacterium
Lineage: Bacteria
Description: partial large subunit ribosomal RNA
Rfam family: Bacterial small subunit ribosomal RNA
Source: RNAcentral